This 1679-nucleotide unclassified non-coding RNA is filed under the name Fusarium triseptatum. RNAcentral describes it as "partial 28S-18S ribosomal RNA intergenic spacer". The record is from RNAcentral. Lineage: Eukaryota; Fungi; Ascomycota; Sordariomycetes; Hypocreales; Nectriaceae.
CCCCAAUGGGUUCUCCGGAUUUCUGGAGACUUGUAGGGGUUGUGGGAUUUUUGAUGUGUCGUCUCCGGACGGGCGGUGCAGGGUAGUCAAGUUAGACUUGGUGGAAUUCCGUCGAUAGGAGUUCCGUCGAGUCUGGUCGGCUGUGUGUUGGACGGUGUAGGGUAGGCUGCUUGGACAUGGUCGGUUCGAGGAUCGAUUCGAGGGCCGGCCUGUCGAUGAUGUGUGAUGUAUGCGGUCUAGGGUAGGUUGGUUUGUCUUGGUUCGAUUUGAUGUCGGCUCCCGUGCAGGCCAGAGUGAGGGGGGUCCAGGGUAGGUACAGGGUAGGCAGCUUAGAUUUGGUCGAUCUGGAGGUCGAUUCUCCGGCUGGCGGAUCUGACACUGCCGACCCCACAUGCAAAAGGUGUCGGGUAGGCUAGUUUCGUCCUCGCCAGGUUGCGAUUUGGACGAGAUAUGUGGUUUAUGGUAGGCUCUAGGGUAAGUAGAAUUCGAGUUUCGUCGCCGAUAGUUUUCUAUGGGUGUAUGGUAGGUACAGGGUAGGCAAAUCUCUCUCCGGCCAGUACUUGUCUGGUGGUCGUGAGUCGAUUUUUUUGUUUUGCCAUACUAUUGAAUUUUGCGGAAAUUCAAAAGUGGCUCGGGAGUCCCGCCUGGCGUGCGUCCGACUCGAACAUCGUCGGUGUACAUAUGAGAGGGAGUAAUCCGGCCCGGCCGGGGCCCAUCGCGAGCUGCCGGGUAGGUAAAAGUAAAAAAGUUGUUAAGAGGCGCGGUGUCGGCGUGCUUGUAUUUGCGGGAGAGAAUUAUCUGGGGGUGCUGGGUAGCCGGGAAGACUUGGACGGAUCUGGCCCGGGAAUGGGUCUGGGCCUGGAUUCUGGUGUGGUGUAGGGUAGGCGUAGAUAGAUGAGUGGUCUGGGGUAGAUACAGGGUAGCCAGACGUCUGGUAUAUAGUAUGGGGGUGUAGGGUAGGUCUGGACACCGUUUUCCACUUCGCCCUUCCCUUUAGUCGAGGGAGGACGAUCUUGGCUGGGACGGAGGUGUAGGGUAGGCUUAAUUUACGAUUACAUGAUCUGUGUCACUCUAGGGUAGGUGAAAAUCCCAUACAUAUCUGAUCAUAUUUGGUGAAGAGGUGGUUUGGCUGGUGAGAUGGACAAAAGUGCAAUGUAGAAUUAUAUGUGAUUUUGCAAAAGUGGGUGUGAAAUUGGAAAGUGGGUUUUCCCGCACAGAUGAGAGCACGUUUGAGGUGCCAUGAGAUGCACCUCUCCGAGACGACCUCAACGGUACCACCCAUGUGUUGGUCGGGCUCCUGUGCGGCCGCCCAGGGCGGGAUAAGUAGAGAAUGUGGUGGUGUAGGGUAGGUGACCAGGUCCAGGGUAGGUUCACCAAAUCCAUCAAUCCGGCUUGAAUCGAAGGACAGGUCUAGGGUAGGCCAGAGUCGGGUCUAGGGUAGGCAAUCCUCACCCUCGAAGUGGUCUACCCGGUAGCCAACUUCAAUCGCCUCUCACGGCCGCCACAGACCUCGCAUGACGACGGGACUACCACCAUCGGAUUCGCCUUGGUCGAAAUAGCUGGUAUAUGCACUUUUGAAAAAAUGCGUGCAAAAUGGUUUUGUGGUUUGGUGGCCGUGAGUCGAUUUUUUUGUUUUCCUAUACAAAUGAAUUUUGCGGAAAAUAAAAAGUGGCCCACGA